Molecule: ribosomal RNA, 451 nt
Filed under: uncultured bacterium
Lineage: Bacteria
Description: bacterial SSU rRNA
Rfam family: Bacterial small subunit ribosomal RNA
Source: RNAcentral
UUAAGUCCCGCAACGAGCGUAACCCUCGUCCUUAGUUGCCAUCAUUUAGUUGGGCACUCUAAGGAAACCGCCGGUGAUAAGCCGGAGGAAGGUGGGGAUGACGUCAAGUCCUCAUGGCCCUUACACGCUGGGCUACACACGUGCUACAAUGGCGGUGACAGUGGGCAGCUAGAUCGCGAGAUCAUGCUAAUCUCUAAAAGCCGUCUCAGUUCGGAUUGUUCUCUGCAACUCGAGAGCAUGAAGGCGGAAUCGCUAGUAAUCGCGGAUCAGCAUGCCGCGGUGAAUACGUUCCCAGGCCUUGUACACACCGCCCGUCACACCAUGGGAGUUGGAUUCACCCGAAGGUAGUGCGCUAACCGCAAGGAGGCAGCUAACCACGGUGGGUUCAGCGACUGGGGUGAAGUCGUAACAAGGUAGCCGUAGGGGAACCUGCGGCUGGAUCACCUCCUUU